UGGCUGUAGCCAAAUCAAGAAAUUCGGUUAGGGAAGCUAACUGGCCGGUUGUUGUUAGAUCCAAUUUUUGGAUCUCCAUCGACACAUCUGCUUACCGAGCUUCCCACAUUC
Small nucleolar RNA from Arachis stenosperma, 111 nucleotides. RefSeq annotates it as small nucleolar RNA snoR109. Lineage: Eukaryota; Viridiplantae; Streptophyta; Magnoliopsida; Fabales; Fabaceae. The transcript has a single exon. The record is from RefSeq and is a predicted model, not a curated record.